Molecule: ribosomal RNA, 459 nt
Filed under: uncultured bacterium
Lineage: Bacteria
Description: SSU rRNA
Rfam family: Bacterial small subunit ribosomal RNA
Source: RNAcentral
AGAAUCAACGCUGGCGGCGUGCCUAACACAUGCAAGUCGAACGAGAAAGUGGAGCAAUCCAUGAGUAAAGUGGCGACCGGGUGAGUAACACGUGACUAACCUACCUUCGAGUGGGGGAUAACAUCGGGAAACCGAUGCUAAUACCGCAUAAUAUCGCAAGAUCAAAGCAGCAAUGCGCUGGAAGAGGGGGUCGCGGCUGAUUAGCUAGUUGGCGGGUAACGGCCCACCAAGGCGAAGAUCGGUAGCCGGCCUGAGAGGGCGCACGGCCACACUGGAACUGAAACACGGUCCAGACUCCUACGGGAGGCAGCAGUGGGGAAUUUUGCGCAACGGGGGAAACCCUGACGCAGCAACGCCGCGUGGAGGAUGAAGCCCCUUGGGGCGUAAACUCCUUUCGACCAAGACGAUAAUGACGGUACUGGUGGAAGAAGCACCGGCUAACUCUGUGCCAGCAGCCGC